Molecule: ribosomal RNA, 199 nt
Filed under: uncultured bacterium
Lineage: Bacteria
Description: partial 16S ribosomal RNA
Rfam family: Bacterial small subunit ribosomal RNA
Source: RNAcentral
AGUCUGCAACCCGACUACAUGAAGCUGGAAUCGCUAGUAAUCGCGGAUCAGAAUGCCGCGGUGAAUACGUUCCCGGGUCUUGUACACACCGCCCGUCACACCAUGGGAGUCGGAAAUGCCCGAAGUCUGUGACCCAACCUACGGGAGGGAGCAGCCGAAGGCAGGUCGGAUGACUGGGGUGAAGUCGUAACAAGGUAUC